Non-coding RNA from Leptonychotes weddellii (Weddell seal), 531 nucleotides. Lineage: Eukaryota; Metazoa; Chordata; Mammalia; Carnivora; Phocidae. The record is from RefSeq and is a predicted model, not a curated record.
GUCAGGAACUCCAGACCCACACUACAUGGGCUCAGAUCUGGCACUGUCACAUCCCCAUCUUAAAGUUGGGAAGCUGCAACCCAGAGAGGUCUAAGGAGUUGGGGCGUCUGAACCCACCGCAAGGACACAAGAACUCAGGAGUAUGCAGUGACCACCCUUUCCUUCAGACCAGGCUGAAUUUAAGAAAAAACCUAUCCCAACUCAAUCCUGCGUCUCGCUCGGAACCCCAACAGGAACUUGCGGGAACCAACGACGGGGAGGGAUGUUGGUUGAACCGCUGGUGCCCCCUCCACCGAGAAGGGACGGAAGGAGUUGCUGCACAGAUCUUCCCGGGAUGGGGGGCGGUGGUGCGGUGAGCAAGGCUGGGAGUGGGGAAGGGGUGCGGGGAGCCCCUGUUGCUUCUCCUCUUUGGGGGGUGGCUAUUAGGUAGGCUUGAGGAAGGCGGAGUUUGGGGGGCCGGGGGCGGGGCUCCUGCGCUGAGAGGAAGAGGGGGGGCGCGCUGGCUCCAGCUCGGCUCAGACAAAAGGCGGC